UGCAAGUGGUAGGAAACCGAAAGGUGACGACCCUUCGGGGAGCUUGCACAGGUGCUGCAUGGCUGUCGUCAGCUCGUGUCGUGAGAUGUUCGGUUAAGUCCGCUAACGAGCGCAACCCUCGCUGUGUGUUAUAUGUGUCACACGGGACUGCCGGUCUUAAGCCGGAGGAAGGUGGGGAUGAUGUCAAGUCAGCAUGGCCUUUAUAUCCUGGGCUACACACACGCUACAAUGGCCAACACAAUAGGUUGCUAAGCCGCGAGGUGGCGCCAAUCCAUAAAGUUGGUCUCAGUUCAGAUUGUAGGCUGCAACCCGCCUGCAUGAAGAUGGAGUUGCUAGUAACCGCAGGUCAGCUAUACUGCGGUGAAUACGUUCCCGGGGCUU
This 381-nucleotide ribosomal RNA is filed under the name uncultured Leptolinea sp. Its description in RNAcentral is "bacterial SSU rRNA". It matches the Rfam family "Bacterial small subunit ribosomal RNA", at positions 987 to 1382 of the family's 1533-position model. Lineage: Bacteria; Bacillati; Chloroflexota; Anaerolineae; Anaerolineales; Anaerolineaceae. The record is from RNAcentral.